This 73-nucleotide transfer RNA is filed under the name Phycisphaerales bacterium. RNAcentral describes it as "tRNA-Gly". It matches the Rfam family "tRNA". From Rfam's summary of the family: Transfer RNA (tRNA) molecules are approximately 80 nucleotides in length. Their secondary structure includes four short double-helical elements and three loops (D, anti-codon, and T loops). Further hydrogen bonds mediate the characteristic L-shaped molecular structure. tRNAs have two regions of fundamental functional importance: the anti-codon, which is responsible for specific mRNA codon recognition, and the 3' end, to which the tRNAs corresponding amino acid is attached (by aminoacyl-tRNA synthetases). tRNAs cope with the degeneracy of the genetic code in two manners: having more than one tRNA (with a specific anti-codon) for a particular amino acid; and 'wobble' base-pairing, i.e. permitting non-standard base-pairing at the 3rd anti-codon position. The record is from RNAcentral. RNAcentral also lists the same sequence under 1 other name. Lineage: Bacteria; Pseudomonadati; Planctomycetota; Phycisphaerae; Phycisphaerales.
GCGGGUGUAGCUCAGUUGGUAGAGCGUCAGCUUCCCAAGCUGAAUGUCGCCGGUUCGAGUCCGGUCACCCGCU